GACGAACGCUGGCGGCGUGCUUAACACAUGCAAGUCGAACGGAAAGGCCCUGCUUUUGCGGCGUUCUCGUGUGGCGAACGGGUGAGUAACACGCGUGUAUCCUCCCCCUGUCUUUGGGGUAAAUCCACGGAACUGGGGAUCAUACCGGAUAUAAUCUCCUGCUGCAUGGGGGUGGUUGGAAAGUUUCGGCGGUUGGGGAUGGACUCGCGGCUUAUCAGCUUGUUGGUGUGGUAGGGGCUUACCAAGGCUGUGACGGGUAGCCGGCCUGGGAGGGUGACCAGCCACAUGGGGACUGAGAUAGGGCCCAGACUCCUACGGGAGGCAGCAGUGGAGAAUAUUGCAGAAUGGGCGGAAGCCUGAUGCAGCAACGCCGCGUGCGGGAUGACGGCCUUCGGGUUGUAAACCGCUUUCGCCUGUGACGAAGCGGGAGUGACGGUAAUGGGUAAAGAAGCCCCGGCUAACUACGUG
This 468-nucleotide ribosomal RNA is filed under the name uncultured bacterium. RNAcentral describes it as "partial 16S ribosomal RNA". It matches the Rfam family "Bacterial small subunit ribosomal RNA", at positions 28 to 507 of the family's 1533-position model. The record is from RNAcentral.